This 491-nucleotide ribosomal RNA is filed under the name uncultured bacterium. RNAcentral's name for it is "partial 16S ribosomal RNA". It matches the Rfam family "Bacterial small subunit ribosomal RNA", at positions 28 to 507 of the family's 1533-position model. The record is from RNAcentral.
GAUGAACGCUAGCUACAGGCUUAACACAUGCAAGUCGAGGGGAAACGAUGAGAGAGCUUGCUCUCUUAGUCGUCGACCGGCGCACGGGUGAGUAACGCGUAUCCAACCUGCCUCUGACCAAGGGAUAACCCGUCGAAAGUCGGACUAAUACCUUAUGCAGUCGUCGGAAGUCAUCUGAUGACGACGAAAGAUUUCAUCGGUGAGAGAUGGGGAUGCGUCUGAUUAGCUUGUUGGCGGGGUAACGGCCCACCAAGGCGACGAUCAGUAGGGGUUCUGAGAGGAAGGUCCCCCACAUUGGAACUGAGACACGGUCCAAACUCCUACGGGGGGCAGCAGUGAGGAAUAUUGGUCAAUGGGCGUAAGCCUGAACCAGCCAAGUAGCGUGCAGGAUGACGGCCCUAUGGGUUGUAAACUGCUUUUAUGCGGGGAUAAAGUGAGGGACGUGUCCUUCAUUGCAGGUACCGCAUGAAUAAGGACCGGCUAAUUCCGUG